GAGAACAUAAUUUGCACACAAUGUGGUAAAACUGGUCACUAUAAAUCUGAAUGUAUUGGAAAAGAAAAGGCUAGUCAAAACAAUAAAGAAUUUGGUCAAUGGAAAAAUAGGUUGCCUGGUUGGGCUAAAAAGAAUCUGAUUCACACUUUUGCCUAUAGAAAGGGAACCAAACUAGUUUGAGUUCCUAAGACUAACACCUAAUUUCCUUUUGUGGGUCCAAGUGAAAGGGGGCAGCCAAGUAUGGUACAUGGAUAGUGGCUGCUCAAAGCACAUGACAGGAAGUAAGAACCGGUUCCUUUCAC
This 302-nucleotide long non-coding RNA is filed under the name Nicotiana benthamiana. RNAcentral's name for it is "long non-coding RNA (NBEN_LNC008995)". The record is from RNAcentral. Lineage: Eukaryota; Viridiplantae; Streptophyta; Magnoliopsida; Solanales; Solanaceae.